GAUCAUACUUUAUGAUAAUAUUUUAUAUUUUAUUUCUUCUAAUAAAGCUUAUUUAUAUGUAUAAAAGAUAAUAUUUUCUUCAAGCUAGAAGAAAAAGUCUAAUUUACAAGUUUAUGAUCAUUAAAAUUGUAACAACAACACAAUAUAAGAUUAGGAUUAGAAAUGUCUGGAUUACAAUAUCCUUGAUAAUAUCCCUUGCCAAUGCAGAAGGACAUGCAAUUAGGUGUUUGGGCACAUGUGUUAAAACAUUUCUCGAAUUGAAGUACCAAACUUGCCGAACCUAUUGAAAAGAGUAGUAUUAGUGUACUAAAUAAUUCAUAUGCAUAAGAAAAACAAUAUAUAAAAAAUUCAAACUCUAUUAUGUAAAUUGUCUACAUACCUAUUGAGAAUAGAAGAACUACCAUCAAAGUUACCAUAAUAAACUUCUGUGUACUGAUCAUUGUUCUUUCUUUUCUUCAAUGAUCCUCUUU
RNAcentral lists this long non-coding RNA (470 nucleotides) under Cicer arietinum (chickpea). Its description in RNAcentral is "long non-coding RNA (CARI_LNC003680)". The record is from RNAcentral. Lineage: Eukaryota; Viridiplantae; Streptophyta; Magnoliopsida; Fabales; Fabaceae.